UACGUAGGGACCGAGCGUUGUCCGGAAUCAUUGGGCGUAAAGAGCGUGUAGGCGGCCUUUUAAGUCCUGCGUGAAAUCCUGCGGCUCAACCGCAGACGGUCGUGGGAAACUGGAAGGCUAGAGUGCGGGAGAGGAGAGUGGAAUUCCCGGUGUAGCGGUGAAAUGCGCAGAUAUCGGGAAGAACACCCGUGGCGAAGGCGGCUCUCUGGAUCGGUACUGACGCUGAGGUGCGAAAGCGUGGGGAGCAAACAG
RNAcentral lists this ribosomal RNA (252 nucleotides) under uncultured bacterium. RNAcentral describes it as "partial 16S ribosomal RNA". It matches the Rfam family "Bacterial small subunit ribosomal RNA", at positions 524 to 775 of the family's 1533-position model. The record is from RNAcentral.